This 2189-nucleotide ribosomal RNA is filed under the name activated sludge metagenome. RNAcentral describes it as "bacterial LSU rRNA". It matches the Rfam family "Bacterial large subunit ribosomal RNA", at positions 1 to 2048 of the family's 2925-position model. The record is from RNAcentral.
AAAAAAUAGUAAGGGCAGAUGGUGGAUGCCUUGGUAAUACGGAGCCGAUGAAGGACGCAGUAAGCCUGCGAUAGUCUUCGGUGAGGAGCAAACAUCCUGAGACCCGGAGAUAUCCGAAUGGGGAAAUCCCGAUACACCAGAAGUGUAUUAUUCAUGCUUAAAUAAAAUAGAGCAUGAAGGGGAACUAAGUGAACCGAAACAUCCAAGUAACUUAAGGAAAAGAAAGAAAAUUCGAUUCCCUGAGUAGCGGCGAGCGAAAGGGGAACAGCCUAAACCUCUUAAGUGUUAAAGCUUACAGGCCUUGCUUAAGAGGGGUUGUAGGUCUAAAUGUUUCUUAGCUGUAAAUAAGAAGGGAAGUCAAAAAUAAUGCGGAUAGCUGAAUAUCAUGGAAAUGGUAGCCAUAGAAGGUGAAAGCCCUGUAAGCGAAAUCCACAUUACUUCCUAUUUUAGACCUGAGUAUCACGGGACACGUGGAAUCCUGUGAGAAGCUAGGAGGACCAUCUCCUAAGGCUAAAUACUCCGUUGACCGAUAGUGAACAAAGUACCGUGAGGGAAAGGUGAAAAGAACCCCGGGAGGGGAGUGAAAUAGAAUCUGAAACCAUGUUGCCUACAAUCGGUCAGAGCACUAUAUCUAAUGACCCUUAAAAGUUGUUAGAUAGUGUCAUGGCUUGCCUAUUGAAGAAUGAGCCGGGGAGUUUUAUGAAGGAGCAAGGUUAAGAGGUAACCCUCGAAGCCAUAGCGAAAGCGAGUCUGAAUAGGGCGAAUUAGUUUCUUCAUAAAGACCCGAAACCGGGUGAUCUACUUAUGGCCAGGGUGAAGCGAACCUAAGAAUUCGUGGAGGCCCGAACGCAUCGGGGGUGAAAACUCGUGCGAUGAGCUGUGAGUAGGGGAGAAAUUCCAACCGAACCCGGAGAUAGCUGGUUCUCUCCGAAAUGCAUUUAGGUGCAGCUUAAAGAGUUCCUUUCUGGAGGUAGAGCACUGAAAGGGCUAGGAGUCCUACCAGACUACCAAACCCUAUCAAACUCCGAAUGCCAGAAAGUUAAUAUCUUUAAAGUGAGUCUACGGGUAAUAAGAUCCGUGGUCGAAAGGGAAACAACCCAGACCGCCUGCUAAGGUCCCUAAUUGUAAACUAAGUGUAUAUUAAGGAAGUGAGUCUGCCCAGACAGCCAGGAUGUUGGCUCAGAAGCAGCCAUCAUUUAAAGAGUGCGUAACAGCUCACUGGUCGAUGCGGUCUUGCGCCGUAAAUGUUCGGGACUAAGUUUACAACCGAAGCAGCGGGUAGGAAAUAUCAAAAACAAUUUUAGUGUUUCACUUUAAUUACCAAAAUAUUUCCUGCGGUAGGAGAGCGUUCUUGUUUCAGAGAAGGUAUACCGUAAGGAGUGCUGGAGAAACAAGAAGUGAGAAUCCCGGCUUAAGUAGCGAAAAGUAGAGUGAGAAUCUCUGCCACCGAAAGUCUAAGGUUUCCUGGGGAAGGUUCGUCCACCCAGGGUUAGUCGGUCCUAAGUUGAGGCCGAAAGGCGUAGAUGAUGGCUAACGGGUUAAUAUUCCCGUACUAAGUUUUAUCGACAAAGAGGUGAUGGAGGGACGGAGAAGGAUAGGUCAAGCAGGGUUUUGGUUGUCCCUGCCCAAGCAUUAAAGGGUGAUUAAGCAGGCAAAUCCACUUAAUCAUUAGCCCGAUGUGUGAUGGGGAGCCGUAAGGUGAAGUGACUGACUCCAUGCUCCCAAGAAAAUCUUCUAACCAGAUAAAACUUAACCGUACCUCAAUCCAACACAGGUAGACAGGGAGAUAGACUCCUAAGGUGAGCGAAAGAACUCUCGUUAAGGAACUCGGCAAAAAGGCCCCGUAACUUUGGGAGAAGGGGUGCCUAACCAUUACUAAUUAAGCAAUUAGUUAGUAAUGUAGUAGGUUGCAAGAAAUAGGCUCGGGGGACUGUUUAACAAAAACACAGGUUUCUGCUAAGCCGUAAGGCGAUGUAUAGGAGCCGACGCUUGCCCAGUGCUGGAAGGUUACGAGGAGAGGUUAGGGAGGAGCAAUCUUCCCGAAGCUUUGAAUCUAAGCCCCAGUGAACGGCGGCCGUAACUAUAACGGUCCUAAGGUAGCGAAAUACCUUGUCGGGUAAGUUCCGACGCGCAUGAAAAGCGUAACUACCUGAGCGCUGUCUCGACGAGAGAUUCGGUGAAAUAGCAGU